GCUGGGAUGGUGUAGUUGGUUAUCACGUCUGUCUAACACAUGAAAUCUUCGCCGUCUUCCUCUAUGUGCACAGAAGGUCCCGAGUUCAAGUCUCGGUCCUAGUA
This 104-nucleotide transfer RNA is filed under the name Friedmanniomyces endolithicus. RNAcentral's name for it is "tRNA-Val". Lineage: Eukaryota; Fungi; Ascomycota; Dothideomycetes; Mycosphaerellales; Teratosphaeriaceae. The record is from RNAcentral.